This 261-nucleotide ribosomal RNA is filed under the name uncultured archaeon. RNAcentral's name for it is "partial 16S ribosomal RNA". It matches the Rfam family "Archaeal small subunit ribosomal RNA", at positions 748 to 1008 of the family's 1478-position model. The record is from RNAcentral.
AGGGUGUAAACGCUGCAGACUUGGUGUUGGAAGUCCUUUGGGGGCAUUCAGUGUCGGAGAGAAGUUGUUAAGUCUGCUACUUGGGGAGUACGUCCGCAAGGAUGAAACUUAAAGGAAUUGGCGGGGGAGCACCGCAACGGGAGGAGCGUGCGGUUUAAUUGGAUUCAACACCGUAAAACUCACCAGGGAAGACUGUUACAUGAAAGCCGAGAUGAAGACUCUGCUAGAUUUUCAGAGAGGUGGUGCAUGGCGUCAGUGACU